RNAcentral lists this ribosomal RNA (800 nucleotides) under uncultured bacterium. Its description in RNAcentral is "bacterial SSU rRNA". It matches the Rfam family "Bacterial small subunit ribosomal RNA", at positions 41 to 834 of the family's 1533-position model. The record is from RNAcentral.
GGGGAGCCUUACUGGGCAGUCGAGGGGCAUCGGGAGGGAAGCUUGCUUUCCUUGCCGGCGACCGGCGCACGGGUGAGUAACACGUAUGCAACCUGCCCUCUUCAGGGGGACAACCUUCCGAAAGGGAGGCUAAUCCCGCGUAUAUCGGUUUCGGGCAUCCGUUAUCGAGGAAAGAUUCAUCGGAAGAGGAUGGGCAUGCGGCGCAUUAGCUAGACGGCGGGGUAACGGCCCACCGUGGCGACGAUGCGUAGGGGUUCUGAGAGGAAGGUCCCCCACACUGGUACUGAGACACGGACCAGACUCCUACGGGAGGCAGCAGUGAGGAGUAUUGGUCAAUGGGAGAGAUCCUGAACCAGCCAAGCCGCGUGAGGGAAGACGGCCCUAUGGGUUGUAAACCUCUUUUGUCGGAGAACAAAACCCGGGACGAGUCCCGGACUGCGUGUAUCCGAAGAAAAAGCAUCGGCUAACUCCGUGCCAGCAGCCGCGGUAAUACGGAGGAUGCGAGCGUUAUCCGGAUUUAUUGGGUUUAAAGGGUGCGUAGGCGGUCCGUUAAGUCAGCGGUAAAAUUGCGGGGCUCAACCCCGUCGAGCCGUUGAAACUGGCAGACUUGAGUUGGCGAGAAGUACGCGGAAUGCGCGGUGUAGCGGUGAAAUGCAUAGAUAUCGCGCAGAACUCCGAUUGCGAAGGCAGCGUACCGGCGCCAGACUGACGCUGAGGCACGAAAGCGUGGGGAUCGAACAGGAUUAGAUACCCUGGUAGUCCACGCAGUAAACGAUGAAUGCUGGUUGUCCGGGUCGAAU